Sycon ciliatum is the source of this 1473-nucleotide long non-coding RNA. RefSeq lists it as uncharacterized. The transcript has 3 exons. NCBI's taxonomy places the organism in Eukaryota, Metazoa, Porifera, Calcarea, Leucosolenida, Sycettidae. The record is from RefSeq and is a predicted model, not a curated record.
UUGACUUUGACACAACAUUACUUUAUAUUUUUGUUUUGUUUUGUUUUUCUCUCCUUCAAACAAGUUGGCCUCCAAAUUUACUACUAGUCUUAUGGAUCAUUACAGUACGAGUACAUGACUUUGUGCUUGACGUACUACCAGUAUACCAGGUAUACUAUUCAUAGCGCUAGCGGUGAUUGCAGUAGAAGAACAGACCUGUGAGUGUCAAGUAUUACCAUUGUUUGGCUGAGAGACAUUCCACUCCUUUGGGAGGAAUCAGAAUGGCGGAGGAGUUUGGUCAUCCAGCGUACAAUUACGAAGGCGAUGUUCCGACAUGUAUUGCUCUCUACAAGCAAGUCUAUUCUAGCAUGAUGCCGAACAGGUAUUAUCAAUGGCGAUAUGUUUAUGGUGACAAGAGGCCGUUUGACAACGGCAUGCAUAUCAUGAGAAAGUGUCUCCGUGCGCGUGCACAGAAAAAUCCAGAAACACGGGCAGCGUAUGUGAAAGCAUACCGUGAUCAUUUUGGUGUGCCACAAGAAUGGCGUGCCAUGGACAACCCUGUGUGGAAACUACGAGAAUCUCCUCCUGACAACUGGGUCAAGACAGAUACGCUUGCUGACCAAUGAAGCUAACGCGUUGAUCUGCUACAGCUUGCUGGCAUUGCUGCACUGGUACGGUGAAAUGUUUAUCAGCUUCUUGUGGUGUCACUGUUACAACAGGUACUAGUAGUAGCUGGCAACAUCACCAGCGUACACACACACACACACAGACUGUAUUGUAGAGUGCUGCUACUCGUGGAGCAUGGCCGCCGUGUUAUCAGUGCUCUGCCGGUAAUGCUGUAAACAUCACCACUCUACACUGCUGUAGUGUUUAGUGCUGUUCAGUACUCUACAGUGCCCUAGUGUCCGGUGCUGUGCAAUACCUACACUGCUGCAGUGUUUAGUGCUGCAGAUGGCUGUACACUGCUGCAGUGUUUAGUGCUGCAGAUGGCUGUACACUGCUGCCCAGCAUUGCACGGUACUGUCGCUUGUCAGAACACGUAACCACCAUCAUUGGGGUGAUUAGCAGUGAGUGCACAAGUAGCUGCAGCCAAGUGCUUUCACGGCUACUGCGGUGUGCACUGACAACACUAAAUACGCUAGGCAUAGCAAUGUGUUCAGGUCGCCGUGCAUACUAUUAGCAUGCAUGGCAGUUUGCAUGGUAUGCAUGACAGUUUGCAUAACAGCGCACAUGGCAAUGUCUAUUGCAGCUCAUCUCACCUUUCUCUCAUUUGGUGAUGCAGUUAUGAUAUUGAGCUGGCUACCGCUCUGGGCUUGUAUUUGCAAACAUGUCCAACUUUUGCCGUCGAUCUUCUUGUGCUUUCACGGAACUUGCUUGUUAUUUCAUCGCAGUCGCUUUGUUUCAGUCUGAAUCAAUCCUCCUUGCCUUUGCAGUGUGAACAGGAGACAUACGGUGGAAAAUCAAAGUGAAGCGAAAGCUUUAAAAAAAAACAGA